GCGCAGCUCUCACACAUUGUUCAUUAACAGCAGCAGCCGCCGCCACCGCCUCCUCCCAACCAUUGAUUGAUCCGCGCGGGGCCGCCGAUCGAACUUUGGGCUAAAUCAAGUGCAAGAAAAUCACAAGUUGGAACUUAAUACCUCCUCUGCCCAAGGUUUCCAUGUCAUUGCAAUGCAUCAGCCUAUGCUGUGCACGCACUACACUGUCAGAGCACAUCCUCCCUGCAAGUAUUCUCUUGCCCCGCACAUGCAAGACCUAGAGCUGCCCAGAGAAGAAAAGUACUGCAAAUAUCAGAUGGAAAAGACUAGAGUUCAGAUAUCUUACAAGCAUUGCACUGACAAGAUGGACCCACAAAAUAAAACUGGUCUCCAGGUUUAUACUGUGGUUUUGAGUUUUUUUGAGUCUGUCUCAGGAUAGUUCCUCAACCUACAGACUCCAUACCUGCAGAGGGCUCAACUCUGGGACAUCACAAAGGCUGCUGCAAGGGCCUACAGAGACAGUUUAAUCCCAUGGGAGCUCAGGGGUGGGAGAGAGCUAAUAGAAAUGUCAGCAAAGAACAGCUCACUCUCAGCAAGUCAAUACAGGUCUCCCAGCAAGAUCCCUUAAUACUAUAUAAAGCAUGUUUGUUAACUAGCACUCUGUAGAGCUCCAGCAUUAAAGGCUAUGCUUGUGACACAGAAACUAAGCACAGACCACAAGGACAAUAUUCUAGACAUUUGGGAAAUGACAUCUUAGGCAAGAAGUUACACCAGGACAGAAAAGCUGGAGAAUGGCAUUUGCUAUCCUAGUAUCCUAGACGCCAAGCCUGGAUGUUGAAUAAAAACAAAGUACACCAUUUCACACACAAACUGACAGAACUCACAGCAGCAACCACCCGCAUGAAUGAGUUAAACAAAAAUAAUGAGUUUUGAUACCCUUGGAAAAAGGUUACGAUAUUUCUUUGAAUGCAUUUUAGAGCAGUAUUUACACUUCAGAGAAGAGACAAGUAAGAAGAAAGAGAGAAAAGCACAUUCUGCACAUUUUGUUUUUUGUUU
This is a long non-coding RNA of Tympanuchus pallidicinctus (lesser prairie-chicken), 1035 nucleotides long. RefSeq lists it as uncharacterized. The transcript is spliced from 3 exons. The record is from RefSeq and is a predicted model, not a curated record. NCBI's taxonomy places the organism in Eukaryota, Metazoa, Chordata, Aves, Galliformes, Phasianidae.